AUUGAACGCUGGCGGCAGGCUUAACACAUGCAAGUCGAGCGGGGGAAGGUAGCUUGCUACUGGACCUAGCGGCGGACGGGUGAGUAAUGCUUAGGAAUCUGCCUAUUAGUGGGGGACAACAUCUCGAAAGGGAUGCUAAUACCGCAUACGUCCUACGGGAGAAAGCAGGGGAUCUUCGGACCUUGCGCUAAUAGAUGAGCCUAAGUCGGAUUAGCUAGUUGGUGGGGUAAAAGCCUACCAAGGCGACGAUCUGUAGCGGGUCUGAGAGGAUGGUCCGCCACAAUGGGACGAAGAAACUGCCCAGACUCCUACGGGAGGCAGCAGUGGGGAAUAUUGGACAAUGGGGGGAACCCUGAUCUAGCCAUGCCGCGUGUGUGAAGAAGGCCUUAUGGUUGUAAAGCACUUUAAGCGAGGAGGAGGCUACUCUAGUUAAUACCUAGGGAUAGUGGACGUUACUCGCAGAAUAAGCACCGGCUAACUCUGUGCCAGCCGCCGCGGUAA
Molecule: ribosomal RNA, 501 nt
Filed under: uncultured bacterium
Lineage: Bacteria
Description: partial 16S ribosomal RNA
Rfam family: Bacterial small subunit ribosomal RNA
Source: RNAcentral